Molecule: ribosomal RNA, 492 nt
Filed under: uncultured bacterium
Lineage: Bacteria
Description: partial 16S ribosomal RNA
Rfam family: Bacterial small subunit ribosomal RNA
Source: RNAcentral
AGUGAACGCUGGCGGUAGGCCUAACACAUGCAAGUCGAACGGCAGCACAGUAAGAGCUUGCUCUUACGGGUGGCGAGUGGCGGACGGGUGAGGAAUACAUCGGAAUCUACUUUUUCGUGGGGGAUAACGUAGGGAAACUUACGCUAAUACCGCAUACGACCUACGGGUGAAAGCAGGGGAUCUUCGGACCUUGCGCGACUGAAUGAGCCGAUGUCGGAUUAGCUAGUUGGCGGGGUAAAGGCCCACCAAGGCGACGAUCCGUAGCUGGUCUGAGAGGAUGAUCAGCCACACUGGAACUCAGACACGGUCCAGACUCCUACGGGAGGCAGCAGUGGGGAAUAUUGGACAAUGGGCGCAAGCCUGAUCCAGCCAUACCGCGUGGGUGAAGAAGGCCUUCGGGUUGUAAAGCCCUUUUGUUGGGAAAGAAAAGCAGCAGGUUAAUACCCCGCUGUUCUGACGGUACCCAAAGAAUAAGCACCGGCUAACUUCGUG